RNAcentral lists this non-coding RNA (25 nucleotides) under Cricetulus griseus (Chinese hamster). Lineage: Eukaryota; Metazoa; Chordata; Mammalia; Rodentia; Cricetidae. The record is from RNAcentral.
GCUCAGAGGUUGGGAGCACUGGAUG